CUGGCAUUACAUUUAUCACAUGAAAUACGAUAUUUUUAAAAUAUCAAACUACAGUCGGCCAUAAAAAAGAACAAAAUAAGGUCAUUUGCAGCAACAUGGAUGGACCUGGAGAUUGUCAUAGUGAAGUAAGUCAGACAGAGAAAGGCAAAUAUCAUAUGCUGCUUAUAUGUGGAAUCUAAAGAAAAAAAAAAAAGGUACAGUUGAACUUAUUUACAGUAGAGUCCCAGAGGUGGAACUUAUGGUUACCAGGGGGGAAGUGUCAGGGGAGGGAUAAAUUGGGAGAUUGGGACUGACAUAUACACACUACUAUAUAUAAAAUAGAUAACUAAUAAGGACUUACUGUAUAGCACAGGGAACUCUACUCAGGACUCUGUAAUGACCUAUACGGGAAAAGAAUCUAAAAAAGAGUAAAUAUAUGUAUAUGUAUAACUGAUUCACUUUGCUGUACAGCUGAAACUAACACAGCAUUGUAAAUCAACUAUACUCCAAUAAUUUUUUUUUUUUUUUUUUUUGCGGUACACGGGCCUCUCACUGUUGUGGCCUCUCCCGUUGCGGAGCACAGGCUCCGGACAUGCAGGCUCAGCGGCCAUAGGCUCACGGGCCCAGCCUCUCCGCGGCAUGUGGGAUCUUCCCGGACCGGGGCACGAACCCGUGUCCCCUGCACCGGCAGGCAGACUCUCAACCACUGCGCCACCAGGGAAACCCACUCCAAUAAUUUUUAAAAGAUAAAAUAUCAAACUGCAAAUAUGGCCCAAGGAAGAGGAGGAAUGAUACUUUGAGAAGAAAGAAGUCACGGAAUAGUAAAAGAAAAAGCCCUCCUGAUCCUGGGAAUGGUGAGACAAAGAGAAGGUCAGACACAGGGGGCGAGGGUUUAAUCCCUGGUUGGAGAACCAAAAUCCCACAUGCUGCGCAGCGCGGUCAAAAAAAAAAAGAGAGACAUGAAGAAGAGAUGAUGCUUUUCUAUCUCCAGAUGUUGUUGUGACUGGUUAUGACAGCAGGCAGUGCUGCAACAGCUGGAAGAUGAAGCAGACCCAUGUGGCGGAAGGAGCCAAGAGUACUACAGACAAGCAGGACUGAAGCCCUGAGGUAACAAGUUUUUUUU
Molecule: long non-coding RNA, 1102 nt
Filed under: Monodon monoceros (narwhal)
Lineage: Eukaryota; Metazoa; Chordata; Mammalia; Artiodactyla; Monodontidae
Description: lncRNA (ENSMMNG00015004252.1)
Source: RNAcentral